GUGCACCAGUCGAGAAACCUUCGCAAUGCAGGAAACUGCGACGAGGGAACUCCAAGUGCCUACGCUCAGCGUAGGCUGUUCUCAAGCCUAGAAAGCUUGAGGAGUAAGGGGCUGGGUAAGACGGGUGCCAUCUGUGGUAGCAGUCAAUAGAUUCGAUUUGUUACUGCAAGGCAUAAGCCGCCGCGGUAAUACCCGCAGCCCAAGUGGUGGCCGCUUUUAUUGGGGCCUAAAGCGUCCGUAGCCGGCCCGGUAAAUGCCUGGGGUAAAUCGUGGAGCCCAACUUCACGAAUUCCGGGUAGACUGCCGAGCUCGGGACCGGAAGAGGGAGAGGGGUACGUUCGAGGGGUAGGGGGUGAAAAGUUUCCUUUCCAUUAACGCUUUGCGCGAAGCGG
This 392-nucleotide ribosomal RNA is filed under the name uncultured microorganism. RNAcentral's name for it is "bacterial SSU rRNA". It matches the Rfam family "Archaeal small subunit ribosomal RNA", at positions 330 to 669 of the family's 1478-position model. The record is from RNAcentral.